This 714-nucleotide ribosomal RNA is filed under the name uncultured Pseudallescheria. RNAcentral's name for it is "eukaryotic LSU rRNA". It matches the Rfam family "Eukaryotic large subunit ribosomal RNA", at positions 50 to 793 of the family's 3401-position model. The record is from RNAcentral. Lineage: Eukaryota; Fungi; Ascomycota; Sordariomycetes; Microascales; Microascaceae.
GCGCAGGAAAAGAAACCAACAGGGAUUGCCCUAGUAACGGCGAGUGAAGCGGCAACAGCUCAAAUUUGAAAUCUGGUCCUUCGGGGCCCGAGUUGUAAUUUGCAGAGGAUGCUUUUGGCGCGGUGCCUUCCGAGUGCCCUGGAACGGGACGCCACAGAGGGUGAGAGCCCCGUAUGGUUGGACACCAAGCCUAUGUAAAGCUCCUUCGACGAGUCGAGUAGUUUGGGAAUGCUGCUCAAAAUGGGAGUUAAACCCCUUCUAAAGCUAAAUACUGGCCAGAGACCGAUAGCGCACAAGUAGAGUGAUCGAAAGAUGAAAAGCACUUUGAAAAGAGAGUUAAAAAGCACGUGAAAUUGUUGAAAGGGAAGCGUUUGCGACCAGACUUGCGCCCGUCGAAUCAGCCGUCCCUCGUGGGCGGUGCACUUCGGCGGGCUCAGGCCAGCAUCAGUUUACUGCAGGGGGAGAAAGGCGCUGGGAAUGUGGCUCCUCGGAGUGUUAUAGCCCGGCGCGUAAUACCCCUCGGUGGACUGAGGACCGCGCGAAAGCAAGGAUGCUGGCGUAAUGGUCGUCAGCGACCCGUCUUGAAACACGGACCAAGGAGUCGUCCUAAUAUGCGAGUGUUUGGGUGUCAAACCCCAGCGCGUAAUGAAAGUGAACGGAGGUGAGAGCUUCGGCGCAUCAUCGACCGAUCCUGAUGUUCUCGGAUGGAAUUGA